CCUUGUACACACCGCCCGUCACACCAUGGGAGUCGUUUGCUCCAGAAGUGGCUAUGCCAACCCCGCAAGGGAGGUAGGUCCCCCAAGGAGUGAACGGUAACUGGGGUG
This 108-nucleotide ribosomal RNA is filed under the name uncultured bacterium. RNAcentral describes it as "partial 16S ribosomal RNA". It matches the Rfam family "Bacterial small subunit ribosomal RNA", at positions 1379 to 1482 of the family's 1533-position model. The record is from RNAcentral.